Molecule: long non-coding RNA, 3596 nt
Filed under: Canis lupus familiaris (dog)
Lineage: Eukaryota; Metazoa; Chordata; Mammalia; Carnivora; Canidae
Description: lncRNA (ENSCAFG00000058128.1)
Source: RNAcentral
GAGCCGGCGCUGGGGCUCGGCCGCCUGCCCAGCCCCCCCACCCCCCCCCCCACUCCCACCCCUCCCCCACCUCCCCGCCCGGGUGGGCGCGCAGGGGCCCGGGCGCCGAGGGCGCUCCCCCAUCUUCCUCCCGGACCCCACGGACUCCCCACUCCAUCCUGCCCGGGGACUUGGGGUCCGGGCGACCCCCCGAGGGCAGAGCCUGGGGCAGGGAGACCUCGGGGGGGGGCAGUACCCGGCGGGGGCCUCGGUCUGGGGCGGGCUCCAGACCACCGGGGCGGAGCUGCUGCGGCGCGCGGGCGAGGUUACCGCCGACCCCGGGAGGAAGCGGGAGGGAGGGGUCGGGCUGUGAACGCCCAGGGCUUGGCCGCCUGGAACCCGCCCCACUGGGAAUGCGAGGCGCCGGAACUUACCUGGGCGCUAGGGGCUGAACCCCACCAUCCCCGGGCUCCAGACCCUGGCGGGAGCGUCCACCCAAAAGAAAGGAAAAACUGGGGUGGGGUGGGGGGUGCUGGGCAAGGAGGAAGGCGAGACAAUCGAAGGAAACCGUGUCUAGACUUAUCCCGGCCCUCCCUCGCCUCUCGGCCGCCCGCUAAAGCGCCAGGUCGCCUCCGGGCACCGCCCCUGAGCUGCUGCCCCUCGGGUUGUUGGGAGCAGACGUUCCUUCAAGAGCGUGAAGGCCCGGGUUGCACCACUGCUGCACGAGGUUGGCCAUCCAGAAGGUGAGCCCCCCAGAGAUCAUAGACAAUUGGAGGAAACUCUGAGAGUCCUCCAGCGAGUGUUUUUCUUCAAAGUCCCUGAUGCCUUCAGAUACCUUUAUGGACCGACGCUGGCACAGUAUCUUCACUCAGUCGUGAAGCCCUGCCUCCCCCAAGCGCUGUGAAGAGAAUGUGACAAACACAAAGUUAAGAAAAGCAUGAACCCUGAUACCUCAGAGCUCACCAUCUCGUGUGCAGGGUUGUGUCCCUAAGAAAUGGGUACAUAAAGAGAUGAACAGCAAAGCAAGCAAGAGUAUGAAUCUUUAAAAUGUUCAUAAUCUUCAACCCAGAAAGUCUGCUUGCAGCAAGGUCUGCUAAGGUCACAACGAAGAAGCUCUCAAGAAUGUAUACAAAAAAAGAAGCCCUUCGGAGAUAGCCCUAAUUGUGGGAAAACCAGGAACAGAUUAAAAACUUAACAGCUUGUUAAGUAAAUGAUAGUGUAUUUAUACAGUGAGUACUACGUAGUCAUUAAAAAUGAUGAUGUAUUACAAUAUUUAGUAACACGGAAAAGGAUUUUCACUACACAUUGUGAAGGAAGAAAACACUGUGCAAAACAAAUGUAUGUAGCCUGACCUCAAGCCACUUCAUAUAUAUGAAGUUAUAUUUAACUAUAUAAUUUGCAUGUUUAUAUAAUGUAUGUAUAUGCAUAACCAGAGCAAAACCUGGAAGUAUAUAUAUAUCAAGAUUUAGCAGUGGCCAUUCCUGGAAUUAAAGAUGAUUUUUUUUUUCAGUCUGUAAUCAACCAAUAGAGAUCAUCAUGCUAAAACUCUCUAGGAAAAAAAUUUAAAAAAUAAUAAAACUCUUUAGGGUUAGCCGUCAGGGCAGUAACACGGCAGCAAGAUAAGGAGGAAGAAACAAGACAAGUGGGCAGAAAUGUUUGGGCACUGAUGUAAGGCAUUACCCUUGGAAACUCAUGGGGCCCACAUUGCAUGAACUUAUUUCCAACUAAUAAGCCAGGGGAGUGGGAGAGGCUGGCCUUGGACCAUAAAAAAUCUCCUAUAAAAAGUAACCAGAGGGGCACCUGGGUGGCUCAAUGGUUGAGUGUCUGCCUUUGGCUCAGGUCGUGAUCCCAGGGAUCAAGCCCCAUAUGAGGCUCCCCAAAGGGAGCCUGCUUCUCCCUCUGCCUAUGGUCUCUACGUCUCUAUGUCUUCUCCCUCUCUCUGUGUCUCUCAUGAAUAAAUAAAUCUUAAAAAAAAAAAAUAACCAGAAUUCCACUUCAUAUCCAGAAUCUUUUCAGGCCAAGAACAUGUAGAUUAUAAUGGGAUGCAACUUUAUCUGGAAAUAGUGACUUGCAUUCAUUAGCUGGUCUCUUUCCCUGUUCAUUUUUCUCUAUUAUUUUCCCUAUUUAUUGCCUCACAGUGACCGAACUUCAUUUCCUUCUUUGACCAUAUUUAUACCACUGAGCACAAUUCUCCUUGCAAGAGAAGAAGGAGCAGAAUAGGAGUUCCUGGUUUCACUCGGUCAUAUACAGACAUUACCUAGUAUUCCCGGGGCAGUGGCCCUCUGUCUCUUUGUUUCAGCAGAGCAGAUGAUUGACACAGCCUGGGCCCAGGAUAAGAUCCUGCCCAAUUGCUUAUUGCCUCCACUCAUCCAUUAACACAUUCUUCGAAUGCCAACUACAUGUCAGACAUCUGGGUCAGUGUUGAGCCCAUAAACACUGGCACUCCUCAGGUGCCUCUUAUCCCAUCCUAGAGAAACAAUCUCCCAGAAUCCUAAUGUCAGAAUCUUACAGUAACAUGAUUAAUUAAAUUUAGAGUUGGAACAGCUUGAAUUUCCACUAAGGAAAGAAGAGGAUUAUCCUUUCAUCCUCUUCCUCUUGUCACUUCCUCUCCACCCUCAACAUAUAAUUACAAGAGAUCAUAUACUAUUGUAAUUUCAGAAGGAGAGAUUUUGAGGGUCUCCAUAGAGAUUAUGCAUUUGCUGGUCUCCAUGGAGAUACUUACUAACCCAUGGAAUUAUUUUCAUCCCCUGGCCCUCUUUGUCUUUUGUGUUGACUUAAGGAUAACAAUUGGGCAAUGAAUUGUGCUCUGACACAUAUUCAGGACCACAAAGGACAUUUCCAUGCCCCUAUAUAGAGCCGUUCAAAAUACAGAGCCCUUGGUUAUUGACUCCCCCUAAGCCAGUAAGUAGUCUCAGCAGAGCUCAAAGAGCGCAGCCGAAAACAAGAAUUCAACAAUCAGUCCCUUCACUUCUCCUUCUGAGUUGAAAAGAUAAACACCCCCAAAUGCCACUUUCUAAAGAGCAGCUAGACAAGUAGCACAUUAGCAAUUUAAAUUUACAGAUUAAAGAAAGGGACUUAGAUGGUGAACUUUAAAGGGAGAAAUAUGAGUAGCUUGGAUAAGUAACUAACAGAAGGCUUGACAAAUUUCCACACAUGUUCAGCAGGUGAAGACACAAAAGAGGAAGACAGAUUAUUAAGAUUGGUAUCAAGAAGCAUGGCUAGUCAUGCCAGUUGGAUGACAUGACAGCAAGAAAAUAUACGCUAGAGCCCCAGGAAGAGAUCCGGCUACAUUGGUGCAAAGGAAGUUUCAUUCUGUGGGUAUUGAGCUCAGAGAGCAAGCUCUCACAGCGACUGACGGUACCACAGUACCCUGCAUUUGUCUGCCAGGCCUGCCAUGAAGUACCAUGGGCUGGGUGGCUUAACAGAAACUUAUUUCUUCACCACGACGGCAGCUGGAAGUCCGAGAUCAAGGUGUUGGCAAGGUUGAUUCUUCCAAGGCCUCUCUCCUUGGCUUGCGGAUGGCCGUCUUCUCCCUGUACCUGGACAUCAUCUUCCCUGCGUGUACAUACAUGUGUGCCCUGAUUUCUUUUUAGGACAUCUGCCAUAUUUUUUUUUUU